Molecule: transfer RNA, 80 nt
Filed under: Phaeoacremonium minimum UCRPA7
Lineage: Eukaryota; Fungi; Ascomycota; Sordariomycetes; Togniniales; Togniniaceae
Description: tRNA-Val (CAC) (tRNA-Val-CAC-2-1)
Rfam family: tRNA
About the family: Transfer RNA (tRNA) molecules are approximately 80 nucleotides in length. Their secondary structure includes four short double-helical elements and three loops (D, anti-codon, and T loops).
Source: RNAcentral
GGCGGGGUGGCGUAGUUGGUAACGCAAUCCUUGCCUCACCGGCAAUGGCUAGACCCUGGUUCGAUCCCAGGCCCGCGCCA